This is an RNA transcript of Passer montanus (Eurasian tree sparrow), 5890 nucleotides long. RefSeq lists it as uncharacterized. The transcript is spliced from 2 exons. NCBI's taxonomy places the organism in Eukaryota, Metazoa, Chordata, Aves, Passeriformes, Passeridae. The record is from RefSeq and is a predicted model, not a curated record.
UUUCCUUUUUCCACUCUUAACGAGAAGCUUUUGCCGUUCCCCUGGGAGGACACCACCCUUCGCGCCCGCCUCCCGCCCGGGGUACGCGGGGGGGGCUCCGCGGCCCCGGGAGCGCCCGCCGGCCCCGGGGGAGGCCCCGCGUCCCCCCCGCCAUUGCCAUAGCGACAGUGACCUCACACGGGGAUGGGCGAGCGGGCCGGUCGCGUAGCAACAGCCCCGGUGACAUCAGCGCCCGGCGCGGUUCCCACGGCAACCCGCGGGGCAGCGAGGGAGGCGGGGGCCGCUCGCGGGGGGACCCCGGGCCCGAGGGGCAGCGAAGGGGUCCCCCCCGCCCCACUGCCGCCGCCUCCCCGGGAUGCCCCAAGCCCCGCGGGAAAAGGGUUAAUGUGAAUAAAUCAGCAUAUCUUAGGGACGUCACCCCCCGUGCAGCCAACGGCGCGGGGGGGCAGAGCGGGAAAUGAGCCCCAGCCGGGCCCCACGGGGGUCUCGGGGGGCAAAAAGAGGCAACGGACACCCCUCGGCCGCGAAACUCUCAGCAGCACCUCAACGCGGCCCGGGAACACCAGUCCCGCCCGGGGCCCCCUUGCCGGGCAGCGGCGGAGCUGAGGCACUGCGGGCACGGCAACAGCGGCUCCUGAUGGAGAAGCACGGAAAGGUCCGGGCUCGGUGCCCCCGGGGUGGAGCGGGUGAGUCCUGGGCGAAGCACCUGCAGUGAGCCGCUUGCUGCCCCCGGGCAAGCCCACCCUUCAUCCCCGGGAGCUGCACCCUUCCCCUUCACCCCAGUGAGGGCACCUCUCACCCGGCAAACACCCUCCCAGGCCCCGCACACACUGCCGCGGCUCACAGCCUGAUGUCCCUCCAGCCUCCAGUGAGGCCAGCGAAAAGGACAGCGUUUCUGGACCCUCCAUAAACCUCCCGCCACCCUGGGCUGCCAGUCCCCGAGCUGGGAUGGCGAGGUGACGCUCGGAGAGGCGCCCGGUGUCACCGGAGGCUUUUGCAGAAGUUAAUGCCCAGCGCCACCGGUGUUCCCAGCGGGAUUAGCCGCUAGAUUGCACUCUUGCAUUGCGCAGGGCGAGGGAGCUGCAGCUCCUUGGCAGCCGGGAGCGGGAUGCUGGAGGCAGCCUGCUCACCCAAGCGCUCCCCACCACGCAGGACGCAAUUCCAAACGGGACGCGCUGCAGCAGCUGGGAGAGAGCCAGCUCCUCCGGCCCCGCCGGCAGCCAAAAAUAACCACGGCAGGGUGACUUUCAGCGGGGAAAUGAUCUGCAUGGCUCGACGGGCAGGGUGCUGCAUGCUGAAAUGCUGCUGCCUCCAGGGCAGCGACUGCUCAUCCCUUGGGAUAAAGCGGCAAGGGUCAGGGGAUGCUUUUGGUGGGGGAAGAGGACUGGAUCUGUUCUGCAGCUUGUCUGGACACAUCGUCUGGACACAUUCCCAUCAGUGGGAUAAACACCCCUUCCUGGGACAGCUGGCUCCACAGGAGAGCACCUACGUGCCAGCCACUCACCAUCCCUGGGAGAGGCUGGAUUCAUCCCCAUGACCCAGGCAUGCUGCAAAUUCCCCUCCUGCAUUUAUUUCCCUCUCGGUCACUGUGACUCACGCUCUCCAUCUGCCUGUUUACAGGCUGUUUUCCCAAGGUCCCUGCAGAGGCAAUGACUGGUUGGGAGGAACUGGGCUAUUUGCCCAGAUCCUUGAGGGAAAGCCCCCAGAAGUCUGGGAGCAGGAGGGAAGGGGCAGGGGCUGGACGCCUGCAUGCUGGGACCUCUCUUGAAGGGACAGAGGCCACUGUGUAUCCCACAGCCUGGCUACACCCACAAACUGGCUACACCCAGGAGGUCAGGGCAACGCCGGGUCUGCCACCACCAGCCCUGCCUGGCACUGCCCUGGCAGCCGGGUGCCUGCAGGGCAGGGGUGGGUACCACCCACACAGCUCCAGCUCCAAAAGGCCAAGUGUCACCAGCCUGGAAAUGGUGCCCACGCUGCCUCCCUUCAUCUCCCAUCAGCGGGGGUCUGGCAUGCCAAGCCCUCUUGGGACAGGGAUGUGCCUCAAGAGCCACAAAGGAACGGAGAGCUGAUGACAAGGGAAGGGCAGGAAGAUGGAGGGAACUCCCAAGGGCUGGCAGGUCACCCUUGAAACAGCUCGAAAGGAAGGUUCCCAGUGCGAGCAUCCCCUCUGCGCAUCCCGGCUCUGCUUCCCUGGGGAUGCUGAGGCACAGGGGAGGGGGAGCACUGAGGGGGGAGGCUGUGCUUUGUGGUUUCACGGUGCAUCUGUGCCCUUUGAAUCCCCAUGGGAAUGUGGAGGUGGUAAAAUGUCACCAGCUGGGCCGCAGGGAAGGGGGCUGGACGCAUAAAACCCCAACAAAGGGUGGCCAUUGUCUGGGGAGAGGCAGUGGGGGGCCAGUGGGGGAACCCGCUGAGUGCCCCUUGCCCCAGCCCCCACUGCCCACAGCUCAGGUGCCGAUGAAAAGGCAGCUUUAUCCCCCUGAGCCCUUGGUGGGAGGCGAUGCUGAUCCCCGGCAUCCCGGGCCAUGGCCCAAACGUGCCCCCCAGGGAAGCAGGGGGAGUGGAGGGGAGCACGGUGUGCCCCAGCCUCCUGAACCUGCUCCAGGCUGCCAGGGCUGCUCUCCUCCAUCCAGCCUCCGCUCCCACUUCCUGGCAAGCCUGACCUGCGUGGGCAGACGGGAAGAUCCCAUUCAGGCUGGAUACGCAGCCCGGCCCCCCCCCCGCCCAUCUUCUCCAUUUCAGGGCCUUUUAUGGCCAUUGCCUCAGGCAGGGCGCCGGGGCCCUGCCAGGCAGGGGGAAGGGACACUGCUGGGGUCACCUGGGGAUGCCCUGAAGGCAGCUCACCCAGGCAACCCCUGGCACUGGGUCCUCGUGUAGAACAGCAGCGUUUGUGGGGGCACUGCAUGCUGUACACUUCCAGGUUUACUUUGUGCCUGCUGCCUUGCACUGAGACAGAUGGAUCGAAGGCUACUCCCAAAUACUUGGCAAGAGCGUCACAAACUCCACAGUGGAAGAACCGUGGCACAAAAAGCCCCUUUCCCUGUCACGGAACAGGGCUGAACAGCCCAGUCAGACUUUGGGGUGAGGUCGGAAAGCUGGUGGGCACAGGUGGGUGGAGGAAGGUGAGUUCUCAUCCUCAUCCUCAUUCCUGGGCUGUCGAGAUCCCAUGCUCUACCCUGCACAGAGGCAGAGGCAAAGCACUCCCCCAGCCCUGGGAUGAAAGGUGUUCCCGCAAACAUCACCCGUCAUUUCCUCCUCUGUGGCGGGAGCUAUGGAACAGGUUCUUCAGCAGCCCCCUGGCACGGGGACAGGACAGGGAGAGGCUGGGAAAGGAGCCAGCCGAGACUUGGCACUGCCAUCCAGAACCGCCCUGCACGCCGUCGGGACAGACGCACCCCAAACCCUGGCUGUGCCAGGGGGAAGCCAAGCUGGAUGGGUGCUGGAGGGUGCUGUGUGGGCCACUAAUCUCAACCAAAACACCCUGGAAGGCAGCUGAUGGGGAAAACAUGGAUUUAGUGUGUUCACUGGGACCCAAAUCUAGCCAGCAGCUCCUACUCCACUGGCUCGGCAGUGAGAUCCUCCCAGCUGCAAACCAGGGUCCCAGCCAGGGUCUCCAUCCCUGUUCCUGAGCCAGGGGCUGCUGGAAGUGAGGGGCAGACGGGCUGGCAGCUCUGCAGCACAUGUAUCCCAGUGUGAGCCCAAGUGUGGGAGUUUACGGGGCUUUGACGCAGGAGAUGUGUGAUGGGGGAAUUGUUGCCAGGCUUGGGGAAGGAUCCAAUCACACCAGGGUGCUCUCAGCAGAUUAAGGAUUGGAAAGCUCUGGUAAUUACUUUGCAGUAUAAAAAUAGGCCUGGCUUUAUCCCUCGCCCUGAUCUCCCACUCCUGCCCCACUCCUUCCCCCCACCCAACAGCGAACUGAUGCCACACACCCCAUGAGCAUGGCAGGAGGGCACAACACAGCUGCUGGCCUGGUGCUGGGGUAAAAAAGAUGGAGAGGGGGUCUGGGAUGGGGUGGUGACAGCAGCACAGCAAUGGCAUCUGGAUGGCACGUGCAAACUGUGAGGAUCAGGAGACUGGGAGAGGAGCCGGGGCACGCACAGAGGCGUCCCCACACACUGCGAGGCUUUGUGCCAGGGAAGCAAGAGCCUGGAGACAUCAGCAGAGCAGAUGUCUGCUCGGGAGAGGACCACGUCUGUGGGACCAUCUGACACAAAGAGGGAACACGGCUCCGGCACUGGCCAUCACCACGUGCUGGUGGCUCCAGCAGGACCCAAGAGAAGGCUGCUCCAUGCACAGGGAAUGGAGCAGCAUGGAUUGACUCGGGGCAGUUCCCAGAUCUCCGAUUUCCCUUUGCUGGGGUCUGGGAACACGUGGUGGUUGGAAUCACAGGGACAAAGCAUGUGGAAAACACUCCAGGAUAUGCAGUCCCACCUGCCUUCCCACCUUCCCCCACAGCAGCUCUGGCCAAUCUGCGUCUCACAGCAAAGUCAAAACAUGAACUCUCCCUCUUGUCCCCAUCCUUGCAGAGCGGUGUAUUCCUUUGCCAGAGCCUGGCUGGCCCAAGCCAAAGCAAAAGCUGCUCCCUGCACCCUCCCUGCGAGGCCUCUGCAGCACCCAGCACGCAGGCAAAGCACUCGGCAGCACUGCAGGCAGCACUGCAGGCAGCAGAGCACGCAGGAGCCUGUAACCUGGCAGCGAGCCCCAGCAUGUUCCAUGCAGCCCGUUCAGCCCCGCGGGCUCCCACCCACCCCGGCCCCGCCGGGGAAACGGCUCAGCUGCAUCCAGAGGCUUCUGGAUGGGGGGCAGCAGCUGCCAGCCCCAUUCCAGGCCGUGCAAACCCCGGGCCAGUGGAGCAGUGCUAUAAAUAUCUCCCCUUGCGAGACCCGGUCACGCAGCCGAGAUGGCGUAAGGGGAAGGAAGCGCUGCCCUCCUGCAGGUCUCAGAGCCUCGGAGCCUGCACAGCCCAGCCCUGCUGCCCGGAGUCCCCCCAUGUCCUGGCUGUCCUGGUUCAUGGCCAGGGCACCGGCGUGCAGAGCCCAGAGGUGGCUGGCACAGCGGUGUGCAGAUCAUGUGGGCAGGCACAGGUGGCAUUUCUGCCACCAGCACAGAGAGUGGCAAAUGCCAGCCCCACGGAUCCCCCAGCUGCCCCCAAUCCUCCUUUGCAAGCACGACACCCCUAAACCCACCUUGAACAGUACCGCAAGUGCCCUGCAUGAGACCCCCACGCCCACCUAGACAUUCACCCCUUCCUGCUGCACCCCCUGACCCAGAUGCAAAUCCUGCAGCCCCUCUGUGCCAUUAAACCUGCGGUAGGAUGACUGGAGGGGGCACAAACCCCUCAGACACGGCUGCAACCCCUGUUCCCUGCAGAGCCCCCAGCCCUGAGCAGCCCCCAGCCCGGGGAGGGGGGGAAAUGCUGCCCUGGCACACCCAGCCCUCGCACCACGCACCGUCGCCCCCAGCCCAGUUUGCAGACGAUCGACGCUCCCCUCCCGCCGGUACUUUUCCAUACACACCCUCCACGGUCCUUUGUUCUGUGCAAUCCCGGGUCCGGGCCGCUCUCGGCAUGGGGGUUGCAUACACCCCCUGCCCUCCCCGCAUUCACCCUCCAGCCGAUCCCCCCUGGGUGUCCCCCUGCCCUCGGAGGGGGCGCGGGCGAGGGUCCCGGGACUCGGGGGGCUGAGCUCCGGCCCGGCCGUCCCCGCCCGCUUGCCUGGCUGCGGCCGCUGCCUCCUUCGCCUGUGCCCGGAGCCGAGACACCGGAGCCGCCGGGGUGCGGGCAGCGGAGCCUUCCAAUGGUACCGGAGCCGCCCGGGGCGCCGGAGCCGCCCGCGGGUACGGGAGGUGCCGAGCUGCCCGGGUGCGGAGCCGGGGCCGGCGGAGCCCGCCG